GGGUUGCUAACUCAAUGGUAGAGUACUCGGCUUUUAAGUGCGGCUAGGAUCUUUUACACAUUUAGAUGAAGCGAGGGAUUCGUCCAUACUAUCGGUAAAGUUUGGAAGACCGCGACUGAUCCUGAAAGGGAAUGAAUGGAAAAAAUAGCAUGUCGUAUCAAUUAAGAGUUCUGAGAAUAUUUUAUUCUUUCCGGCUCGGUACAAAGCUUUCUUUAAAUUAUUGAAAAGGAGCAAACCGAAGUAAAUUUCAAGUUGGGUCGAAUUAAUAAAUGGAUAGGGCCCCACGGCUUCAAUUAAUUUCAUUUUUAUUAUAGGGAAAGAAAAAGCAACGAGCUUUCAUUCUGAAUUUGAAUGAUUACCCGAUCUAAUUAUACGUUAAAAAAAUAUUAGUGCCCAAUACGGGAAGGCUUUCUCCCAGGAAAAAAUAUUCUUGAUUUUUUAAUGAAUCCUAAAUAUUACCACUCUCCAUUCUAUAAUGGAAUAAUGGAGAUGUAUGUGUAUAAGAAACAGUAUAUUGAUAAAUCAAUUUCCAAAAUCAAAAGAGCGAUUGGGUUGAAAAAAAUAAAGGAUUUCUAAUCAUCAUCCUAUAACGAACAUAAAAACUUAAAAUGAAAUGGAAAAAGAGAUGAUAGAGAAUCUGUUGAUAAGUUUAUCUGGAUCCGAGGUAUCUAUUUGGUUUGUACUAUAAUACCUUGUUUUGACUGUAUCGCACUAUGUAUCAUUUAUAACCCCCAAAAUCCUCUACCUUUCAUUUAAAUAGAAUUUCAAAUGGAUAAAUUCCAAAGCUAUUUAGGGCUAGAUAGAUCUCAACAACACUACUUCUUAUAUCCACUUAUCUUUCAGGAGUAUAUUUAUGUACUUGCUCAUGAUCAUGGUUUAAAUAGAUCAAUUUUGUUGGAAAAUGCAGGUUAUGACAAUAAAUCCAGCUUACUUAUUGUGAAACGUUUAAUCAUUCGAAUGUAUGAACAGAAUCAUUUGAUUCUUUCUGUUAAUGACUCUAAACAGACUCCUUUUUUGGGGCAGACCAAUCAUUUUUAUUCGCAAAUAAUGUCAGAGGUUUCUUCAAUCAUUAUGGAAAUUCCAUUGUCUCUGCAAUUAAUAUCUUCCCUAGAAAGGAAAGGGGUAGUUCAAUCUGAAAAUUUACGAUCAAUUCAUUCAAUAUUUUCUUUUUUAGAGGACAACCUUUCACAUUUAAAUUAUGUAUUAGAUAUACUAAUACCUUACCCAGCCCAUCUGGAAAUAUUAGUUCAGGCUCUUCGCUAUUGGAUAAAAGAUGCUUCCUCUUUGCAUUUAUUAAGAUUCUUUCUCCAUCAGUGUCAUAAUUGGGAUAGUCUUAUUACUUCAAAUUCAAAGAAAGCCAGUUCUUCUUUUUCAAAAUCAAAAAGAAAUCAGAGAUUAUUCUUCUUCCUAUAUACUUUUCAUGUAUGUGAAUAUGAAUCCGGCUUCCUCUUUCUCCGUAACCAAUCUUCUCACUUACGAUCAACAUCCUCUGGAGCCCUUAUUGAACGAAUUUAUUUCUAUGGAAAAAGAGAGCACUUUCCCGGGGCUUUUCAAGCAAAUUUAUGGUUGUUCAAAGAUCCUUUCAUGCAUUAUGUUAGGUAUCAAGGAAAAUCAAUUCUUGCUUUAAAAGGGACGUUUCUUCUGAUGAAUAAAUGGAAACAUUACUUUGUCAAUUUCUGGAAAUCCUAUUUUUACCUGUGGUCUCAACCAGGAAGGAUUUAUAUAAACCAAUUAUCCAAUCAUUCCCUUGACUUUCUGGGUUAUCAUUCAAGUGUGCGGCUAAAGCCUUCAAUGGUACGUAGUCAAAUGUUAGAAAAUGCGUUUCUAAUCGAUAAUGCUAUUAAGAAGUUUGAUACUCUUGUUCCAAUUAUGCCUCUGGUUGGAUCAUUGGCUAAAUUGAAAUUUUGUAACGCAUUGGGGCAUCCUAUUGGUAAGGCGGUUUGGGCCGAUUUAUCAGAUUCUGAUAUUAUUGAGCGCUUUGGGCGUAUACACAGAAAUCUUUCUCAUUAUCAUAGUGGCUCUUCAAAAAAAAAGAGUUUGUAUCAAGUAAAGUAUAUACUUCGCCUUUCUUGCGCUAGAACUUUAGCUCGUAAGCAUAAAAGUACUGUCCGUGCUUUUUUGAAAAGAUUUGGUUCGGAAUUAUUGGAAGAAUUUUUUACGGAAGAAGAACAAGUUUUUUCCUUGACCUUUCCAAGAGUUUCUUCUAUUUUGCGAAGGUUAUCUAGAAGGCGGAUUUGGUAUUUGGAUAUUAUUUGUAUCAAUGAUUUGGUCAAUUAUGAAUGAUUCAUUAUGAAACGUUGUAAAUAAAAAUAAAUUUGAUUUUGAUCACUAAAUAAUUUAAACAAUGAAGAGCUAAAAAAAUUAUUUAUUUCUAUUCUGAAAUGUUGAUGUCGUAUGUAGUAAGCAUUAAAUCAACUGAGUAUUCAAUCUUUUUUUGCCUAAUGAAGAAACUUAGUUUUAGAUGUAUACAGAGGGAAAGCCGUGUGCAAUGAAAAAUGCAAGCACGGCUUGGGGAGGGAUUUUUACUUAUUUAAAAAGAAAAUUAUCUACUCCAUCCGACUAGUUCCGGGUUCGAAUCCCGGGCAACCCA
RNAcentral lists this transfer RNA (2590 nucleotides) under Symphyotrichum subulatum. Lineage: Eukaryota; Viridiplantae; Streptophyta; Magnoliopsida; Asterales; Asteraceae. The record is from RNAcentral.